This is a non-coding RNA of Bactrocera oleae (olive fruit fly), 2173 nucleotides long. NCBI's taxonomy places the organism in Eukaryota, Metazoa, Arthropoda, Insecta, Diptera, Tephritidae. The record is from RefSeq and is a predicted model, not a curated record.
AAAAUUAUAUUAAUCGUUUGCCGCUCAAUACAAAUGAAAUUGGUCUUGGUCUAAACCUCAUAUCGCUAAUACAAUAAAUUCCGAUCAUUUGGUUGACAUUUUUCACAUCAACGCAAUAUAUUUAAUUUAGCGUCUUCGGUUGAGUUUAUAUCACAUAUAUAAUAUAAUAUCUAAUUUGAGGAUGGUUUUAGUAUAAUUUUUGUUGACGGGAAGUAAAAUAUAGUAAUAAAAUUAAGUGAGCCAUCAAAAUAAGUUUAUAUGAUACCGAAUUUGAUUGUAAUCCAUUCACGAUUUCUUCAAACAAUGAAGUCUAACUCUUUCUUAUUUCCCCUGCUUUGGUCCUUGCAAUUUACAACAGUAGAACAUGGCACUAUUUGUGCUUCUUCCGUAUCUAUCCAUAUCAUGUAGGUUAUCAAAUUGAAUGUUUCUGACGUAUUUGUUUAGUGAAUUAUCGCACUUUUAGGGUUUUCAAUGAAACCGUCACCCCCAUGGGCGUGGCAUCCGAUGAAAUCCAUUUUUGCAUUGUAUGAGGAGUAAGAAGGAUAUAUGUACUUUAAACCUAUCAGAUGGAGCCAUUUGUGGGCGUGCAACAUCAACCUUCACAGGGUGCCCUGUUUUAUCAACAUAUUUUACUCAAAUUAUCGGUUGAACAUACAGACAGACCUACACUCACCGGGAAUUCAACUAGUAUCGCCAUCCUGAUCAUAUAUAAAUCUGUAUAUAACACUAGAAAGGAAAGAGUAAAGUAUAACCAUUCUUUAACACACACAUAUACUCGAUUAAAAUUGCGUUUUCUUCAAUUUCUAAAUAUAACCCGGUCGAUCCAACACCGGGGAUGUCCUAAGUUCUUUCGAGAACUACUUUCUGAGUGUUGACACUGUUUUUUUUUUUUUAUAACACCAAAUUCAGGAAUUUUUAUACUAAAUCGCAUCCGAUACGCCUUUUUAAUUAUAUUUUUAGGACCUAAUAUAAAACUAUUUAGACCUCCAUAUUAAGGAUAUAUAUGUAGAUAUGUAUGUAUAUAGGUAAUCCCUACUUAUAUUAUAUAAUAUUAUAAAUGCGAAAACCUGUUUGUUUGUUACGCUUUCACGCAAAAACUACUUAACCGAUCAUCAUAAAGCUUUGUACACAUACUCUUGGAGGUGUCAGAAUGAACGUAUCGUAUGUUAUUUAAUAAAAAAUUUUUUUUUUUUAAUAAUAUAAAGAAUUUUUUUUGUCAAUAUAACCUCUUAAUCUGGCUACUUUAACGCUAUCUAGUAUUCCAGUAAUGAGGCUCAAGCCUGAAUACUAUAAAACUAUCACACUGUACUACCGACAGCCACGUUAACAUCCAAUCAAAUUAACUCUACAAUGGAGACUAUACACUAUACUUCCAUAAACUAUACUUUCAGUAUAGUAUGCUAUACUACGGAGACUAAACACUAUACUUCUAUAGUGCACCUUCAGCUAUUUUGAGUUUUUCUUCAUUGUUAUUUCUUCUGACACGGAAAUCUGCGCUACCAAUAAAUUCUUCGUCGGUCCGUUAAGCUAAAAUUGCACGAAAUUAAGAAUCUGAAGUUCACGUAAAGCAGAGAAGACAACAGCAAGCAGUGCGAUAACGUGUUUUAAGAGCAGCUGAAACUCCUCUUCAGACACGAGUUAGUUCAGAAAGACCAGCUAUCAGUAGGCAGCUAGAAGAGCGAGGGAAAUUCCCAAUUCCCACAACAACUAGUUCUACGUCACCGGAAUUGACGCGGAUUUUAUCCGACCAAAGGCUGUUAUUUUGGCGAUCUAACCCUGUUUGGAUCGGUAUUCCAAAGUUCACUAAUCCACACGCAAAAAUGUUCCACUUGGUACGGGUUGCAUACGAAAACAUCCAAAUGCCUGAAAUCUGCUACAGUGUGUUGCCGUGUUAUGUUUUAAAAUUUAUAACUUUAAUGUUUUUAUUCAUAUUCGAAUAUUUUUCGAUUACCAAAAUUCCUAAAGAUUAAAUUUGCAUAUAAAAAGUAUAUCGCUGUGAGUGUUUUAGAAUAUUUUGUAAAUGUUAUUUACUAAUAGUACAUUGAACUAUUAUAUUGUUCAUGAAUUGUACCCGAUUUUGUAUAUAUAUUAAUUUUUGUUUCGAUGAAAUUAAAACCAGCAAGUUGUUCUGUCAUGUAUUUGUUAAUGAGUAAAUAAACUUUUUUUUCGAAAA